UGUGAAACGCCCUUUACCCCCUCUUAGGGACAAGGAGCUGGUAUCAGGCACGAAAAUCUGCCCAAAACACCUAGCUACGCCACACCCACAAGGGAACUCAGCAGUGAUUAACAUUGAGCAUUAGCGCAAGCUUGACUCAGUUAAAGUAAGUAGAGCCGGCUAAUCUGGUGCCAGCCGCCGCGGUUACACCACGUGGCUCAAAUUGACUUCCUCCGGCGUAAAGCGUGAUUAAAGUUAAACCCAACUAGAGUUAAAUUAAAACUAAGCUGUGACACGCUUGUUCCCAUAAACGAAAGUUACUCUAUUAUAAUCAACUUGAAUUCACGACAGCUGGGACACAAACUGGGAUUAGAUACCCCACUAUGCCCAGCCGUAAACUUUUAUUU
This 386-nucleotide ribosomal RNA is filed under the name Sclerophrys regularis (square-marked toad). Its description in RNAcentral is "partial 12S ribosomal RNA". It matches the Rfam family "Bacterial small subunit ribosomal RNA", at positions 320 to 815 of the family's 1533-position model. The record is from RNAcentral. Lineage: Eukaryota; Metazoa; Chordata; Amphibia; Anura; Bufonidae.